ACGACAAAAUGAAAUCACAAGUGCACCAAAAUUUAUGCUCAAUAUAUAUUCUCACAUGCAUCUUCCACGCAUAUUUUAUUACUGGGUCACAUCACUGUACAUUGUUCAACAUGAUGGAGUAGACAAAUUCUAGAAAUCGCAUACUAUGCAAUGACAACCCCAAAGGGAACCGUGGACAGGUGCACAAUAAGCUUUCUUUGUGUGAGCUCCCCAGGAUCCUCGGCAGGCAUUCUGGCAUGCUAAUUCAUCGCAAGUAGCGCCAUAAAAAGGAACGUGCAGUUCACAGUGCAUUUCUGUAGACACGAAUAUACAGAAUUAAAAGAAGUCCAAAUUGAGAAAGUUCAAAGGAAUCCAUGCAGUUCAGCUGACAAUAUUGAUUUACUCUGGGUGGCAUCGGAAAGGAAUCAUACAUGGGGAUAGGGAUGACAAUUUCGUACCAGCAUGAGUAGAAUUUCCUAGCAGCAAAAGCACAAAAAGGCAAAGAAGAAUAGUUUUCUGCUCCAUAAGAUCAAUGCAAGCUGCUUUUUCUUGUUUAUGUUUGGGCGUCCA
This 549-nucleotide long non-coding RNA is filed under the name Triticum aestivum (bread wheat). RNAcentral describes it as "long non-coding RNA (TAES_LNC028317)". The record is from RNAcentral. Lineage: Eukaryota; Viridiplantae; Streptophyta; Magnoliopsida; Poales; Poaceae.